Molecule: ribosomal RNA, 478 nt
Filed under: uncultured bacterium
Lineage: Bacteria
Description: partial 16S ribosomal RNA
Rfam family: Bacterial small subunit ribosomal RNA
Source: RNAcentral
GAUGAACGCUGGCGGCGUGCUUAACACAUGCAAGUCGAACGGGAAUUAUUUUAUUGAAACUUCGGUCGAUUUAAUUUAAUUCUAGUGGCGGACGGGUGAGUAACGCGUGGGUAACCUGCCUUAUACAGGGGGAUAACAGUCAGAAAUGGCUGCUAAUACCGCAUAAGCGCACAGAGCUGCAUGGCUCAGUGUGAAAAACUCCGGUGGUAUAAGAUGGACCCGCGUUGGAUUAGCUGGUUGGUGGGGUAACGGCCCCCCAAGGCGACGAUCCAUAGCCGGCAUGAGAGGGUGAACGGCCACAUUGGGACUGAGACACGGCCCAGACUCCUACGGGAGGCAGCAGUGGGGAAUAUUGCACAAUGGGGGAAACCCUGAUGCAGCGACGCCGCGUGAAGGAAGAAGUAUCUCGGUAUGUAAACUUCUAUCAGCAGGGAAGAUAGUGACGGUACCUGACUAAGAAGCCCCGGCUAACUACGUG